This 339-nucleotide unclassified non-coding RNA is filed under the name Hevea brasiliensis (rubber tree). Lineage: Eukaryota; Viridiplantae; Streptophyta; Magnoliopsida; Malpighiales; Euphorbiaceae. The record is from RNAcentral.
GGACUCAUAAUAGAACUGAAAUUUCAAAUAAAUCUCCUAUAAAAGAUGCCAAACCAUGAAAACUCCUAACUUCCUUGAUGGAUUGAGGUGCUGGCCUAUCAGCAAUUGCCUGAACUUUUUCUGGAUCUGGUUUUAAACCUUCUGCCAACACAAUGAACUCAACAAACACCACUUCUGACUAUAGGAAAGUACAUUUUUUUAAGUUUAUAUACAGCUGUUCCCUUUGAAGUGCUUCCAGCGCUUGUCGCAAAUGUUCUAAAUGCUCUUCCUUAGUACAAAUAUAGAUCAAAAUGAAAAAUUCACUGCAAUGAAAGAAUUCAAGAAAGGCUUGAGUACAUC